This 305-nucleotide ribosomal RNA is filed under the name uncultured bacterium. Its description in RNAcentral is "bacterial SSU rRNA". It matches the Rfam family "Bacterial small subunit ribosomal RNA", at positions 333 to 634 of the family's 1533-position model. The record is from RNAcentral.
GGUAGCCUACGGGAGGCAGCAGUGAGGAAUAUUGGUCAAUGGGCGGGAGCCUGAACCAGCCAAGUCGCGUGAGGGAAGACGGUCCUAUGGAUUGUAAACCUCUUUAGGCGGGGAGCAAUGCCGGGCACGCGUGCCCGGAGGGAGAGUACCCGCAGAAUAAGCAUCGGCUAACUCCGUGCCAGCAGCCGCGGUAAUACGUAUGGUGCAAGCGUUAUCCGGAUUUACUGGGUGUAAAGGGAGCGCAGGCGGCGCGUUAAGCCUGGUGUGAAAGCCCGCGGCCCAACCGCGGGACUGCAUUGGGAACU